This 204-nucleotide ribosomal RNA is filed under the name uncultured bacterium. RNAcentral describes it as "partial 16S ribosomal RNA". It matches the Rfam family "Bacterial small subunit ribosomal RNA", at positions 1289 to 1500 of the family's 1533-position model. The record is from RNAcentral.
CAGUUCGGAUCGGAGUCUGCAACCCGACUCCGUGAAGCUGGAUUCGCUAGUAAUCGCGCAUCAGCCAUGGUGCGGUGAAUACGUUCCCGGGCCUUGUACACACCGCCCGUCAAGCCAUGGGAGCCGGGGGUGCUUGAAGUGCGUCGCCGCAAGGCGCGCCCUAGAGCAAAACCGGUGACUGGGGCUAAGUCGUAACAAGGUAAC